Molecule: ribosomal RNA, 502 nt
Filed under: uncultured bacterium
Lineage: Bacteria
Description: partial 16S ribosomal RNA
Rfam family: Bacterial small subunit ribosomal RNA
Source: RNAcentral
AUUGAACGCUGGCGGCAGGCUUAACACAUGCAAGUCGAGCGGGGUGAUGGUGCUUGCACUAUCACUUAGCGGCGGACGGGUGAGUAAUGCUUAGGAAUCUGCCUAUUAGUGGGGGACAACAUCUCGAAAGGGAUGCUAAUACCGCAUACGUCCUACGGGAGAAAGCAGGGGAUCUUUAUGACCUUGCGCUAAUAGAUGAGCCUAAGUCGGAUUAGCUAGUUGGUGGGGUAAAGGCCGACCAAGGCGACGAUCUGUAGCGGGUCUGAGAGUAUGAACCACAACACUGGGACUGAGACACGGCCCAGACUCCUACGGGAGGCAGCAGUGGGGAAUAUGGGACAAUGGUGGGAACCCUGAUCCAGCCAUGCCGCGUGUGUGAAGAAGGCCUUAUGGUUGUAAAGCACUUUAAGCGAGGAGGAGGCUCUUUUGGUUAAUACCCAGAAUGAGUGGACGUUACUCGCAGAAUAAGCACCGGCUAACUCUGUGCCAGCCGCCGCCGUAA